GACGAACGCUGGCGGCGUGGAUUAGGCAUGCAAGUCGAACGGUAUCAUCCUUCGGGGGUGAGAGAGUGGCGAACUGGUGAGUAACACGUAGGUUAUCUACCCUCAAGACGGGGACAACCCAGGGAAAACUUGGGCUAAUACCGGAUGUGAGCAACUUUUAGUUGUUUGAAAGGUGGCGUAAGCUGUCGCUUGGGGAUGAGCCUGCGUCCUAUUAGUUAGUUGGUGAGGUAACGGCUCACCUAGGCAAUGAUAGGUAGGCGGCCUUAACGGGUGGUCGCCCACACUGGGAUUGAGAUACGGCCCAGACUCCUACGGGAGGCAGCAGUCGAGAAUAGUCUACAAUGGUCGGAAGACUGAUAGUGCGACGCCGCGUGAACGAUGAAUCCCUUCGGGGUGUAAAGUUCUUUUAUAUGUGAGCAGUGCUUCUUAUAUUAACAGUAUGGGGAGAGAGAUAUUAGCAUAUGAAUAAGCAACGGCUAACUCCGUG
RNAcentral lists this ribosomal RNA (487 nucleotides) under uncultured bacterium. RNAcentral describes it as "bacterial SSU rRNA". It matches the Rfam family "Bacterial small subunit ribosomal RNA", at positions 28 to 507 of the family's 1533-position model. The record is from RNAcentral.